RNAcentral lists this ribosomal RNA (417 nucleotides) under uncultured bacterium. Its description in RNAcentral is "partial 16S ribosomal RNA". It matches the Rfam family "Bacterial small subunit ribosomal RNA", at positions 363 to 773 of the family's 1533-position model. The record is from RNAcentral.
AUUGCGCAAUGGGGGAAACCCUGGCGAAGCAACGCCGCGUGAGCGACGAAGGCCUUCGGGUAGGAAAGCUCUGACAAUAGGGACGAAGUCUAAUAAGUAAAUCGAUUAUUAGGUGACUGUACCAAUAAAAGGUGUUCCGGUUCACAACCUGGUAAAGCUCGCGGUAAAACGCAGGGGGCCAGCGUUGUCCGUAAAUACUUGGCGUAAAGGGCGUGUAGGCGGCUAAAUAAGUCAAGUGUGAAAACUGUGGGCUCAACCCAGAGAUUGCACCUGAAACUGUCUAGCUUGAGGGUAGGAGAGGAAAGUGGAAUUCCUAGUGUAGCGGUGAAAUGCGUAGAUAUUAGGAGGAACACCAGUGGCGAAGGCGACUUUCUGGCCUAACCCUGACGCUGAGGCGCGAAAGCGUGGGGAGCAAAC